This 447-nucleotide ribosomal RNA is filed under the name uncultured beta proteobacterium. RNAcentral describes it as "bacterial SSU rRNA". It matches the Rfam family "Bacterial small subunit ribosomal RNA", at positions 198 to 626 of the family's 1533-position model. Lineage: Bacteria; Pseudomonadati; Pseudomonadota; Betaproteobacteria. The record is from RNAcentral.
GGAGGAAAGCAGGGGAUCGCAAGACCUUGCGCUCAUUGAGCGGCCGAUGCCUGAUUAGCUAGUUGGUGAGGUAAAGGCUUACCAAGGCGACGAUCAGUAGCUGGUCUGAGAGGACGACCAGCCACACUGGGACUGAGACACGGCCCAGACUCCUACGGGAGGCAGCAGUGGGGAAUUUUGGACAAUGGGGGAAACCCUGAUCCAGCCAUGCCGCGUGAGUGAAGAAGGCCUUCGGGUUGUAAAGCUCUUUCAGCCGGAACGAAACGGUCACGGCUAAUACCUGUGACUACUGACGGUACCGGAAUAAGAAGCACCGGCUAACUACGUGCCAGCAGCCGCGGUAAUACGUAGGGUGCGAGCGUUAAUCGGAAUUACUGGGCGUAAAGCGUGCGCAGGCGGUUUUGUAAGUCAGAAGAGAAAUCCCCGGGCUUAACCUGGGAACUGCGU